UGGCCAGCUCAGCAGGAGCUGGAUGGUUUAGCAUGGUCUAGAAUGGCUUCAUUUACAUUUUUGGGCUUCAGCUGGGAUGCCUGAACAGUGUCUCUGUGUAUUAUCUCCUCUUCCAGUAGGCUUGCCCAGGCUUCUUCAUAUGGUGGCCUUAAGAUUCUCAGCAACAAAGAAGGGGCAAGCCCCAGUACAUAAACACUUUUUUUUUUUUUUUUGAGAUGGAGUCUUUUCCUGUGCUGUUCUUGUGAUAGUGGGUGGGUCUCAUGAGAUCUGAUGGUUCUAUAAGAGAAAAUUUCCCUGCACAAGCUCUCUCACUUUGCCUGCUGCCAUCCGUGUAAGACAUGACUUGCUCCUCCUUGCCCUCUCAAAAGGCCCAGAGAAAGUCUAAGGAAGGAGAAACAUGAUCAUG
Molecule: long non-coding RNA, 406 nt
Filed under: Homo sapiens (human)
Lineage: Eukaryota; Metazoa; Chordata; Mammalia; Primates; Hominidae
Description: non-protein coding lnc-CAMK2N2-2:1
Source: RNAcentral